RNAcentral lists this unclassified non-coding RNA (246 nucleotides) under fungal sp. RNAcentral describes it as "partial internal transcribed spacer region". The stretch from base 1 to 46 matches the Rfam family "Eukaryotic small subunit ribosomal RNA", at positions 1786 to 1831 of the family's 1831-position model. The record is from RNAcentral. Lineage: Eukaryota; Fungi.
AAGUCGUAACAAGGUUUCCGUAGGUGAACCUGCGGAAGGAUCAUUAUAGUAUAUUGAAUUCUUAUUCAUAUCAACCCACACUGUGUACCUUUUAUCUGUUGCUUCCAUGGGACAUGGCUCUGCCACGUCGGCCUUCGGGCUGGUGAGUUCCCAUGGAAGGAAACCCAAUACUCUUUUUAUUUUUGACAUCUGUCUGAAUAGUUUUUAUAAACGUUAAAACUUUCAACAACGGAUCUCUUGGUUCUC